CUUGGUGUUAUCGAUGAAUACAAAGCUUAUAGAUUGUUUUAUCCAGCCACAAAGAUCAUCGUAAGGAAAUAUGUUGUAUUUGAAGAAGAAAAAUAGUGGGAUUGAGGAAGAACUGAAGAAGAAUGCAAAGUUUAUGUUCUAAUUGAUGAGAGGGGUGCAAGAAAUAGAAGACAACCAACUUGGAUGGAAGAUUUUCGAAACCAAACUUAACAAUAAUGGGGAGGUGGAGAAGAUGAAGGCA
RNAcentral lists this long non-coding RNA (241 nucleotides) under Lupinus angustifolius (narrow-leaved blue lupine). RNAcentral describes it as "long non-coding RNA (LANG_LNC002150)". The record is from RNAcentral. Lineage: Eukaryota; Viridiplantae; Streptophyta; Magnoliopsida; Fabales; Fabaceae.